This 227-nucleotide long non-coding RNA is filed under the name Elaeis guineensis (African oil palm). RNAcentral describes it as "long non-coding RNA (EGUI_LNC001857)". Lineage: Eukaryota; Viridiplantae; Streptophyta; Magnoliopsida; Arecales; Arecaceae. The record is from RNAcentral.
GCAGAAUUUUAUCUCACAGAGCAGACUGAAUUCGAGAGGCUAAAGGACGGUAGCUGGUGGAGGAAUCCUGAAGGUGUUGCGCGAAGUCUAAUACGAGGUGGAGCUUUAUGAGCCAAGAGGAGUCCAAAGCGAGGUAGAGCUCCAGGUGAAGGUGGAUCGGACACAAGAUGUGAGACUCGAGAGGAUGAGAGGCAAUAUCGUAAGGUGAGAUUCCUAUUACCGCAGGA